RNAcentral lists this ribosomal RNA (440 nucleotides) under uncultured bacterium. RNAcentral describes it as "partial 16S ribosomal RNA". It matches the Rfam family "Bacterial small subunit ribosomal RNA", at positions 338 to 795 of the family's 1533-position model. The record is from RNAcentral.
CCUACGGGAGGCAGCAGUGGGGAAUAUUGCACAAUGGGGGAAACCCUGAUGCAGCGACGCCGCGUGAGUGAAGAAGUAAUUCGUUAUGUAAAGCUCUAUCAGCAGGGAAGAAAAUGACGGUACCUGAGUAAGAAGCCCCGGCUAACUACGUGCCAGCAGCCGCGGUAAGACGUAGGGGGCAAGCGUUAUCCGGAUUUACUGGGGGUAAAGGGAGCGUAGACGGCAGUGCAAGUCUGGAGUGAAAGGCGGGGGCUCAACCCCCGGACUGCUCUGGAAACUGUACGGCUGGAGUGCAGGAGAGGUAAGUGGAAUUCCUAGUGUAGCGGUGAAAUGCGUAGAUAUUAGGAGGAACACCAGUGGCGAAGGCGGCUUACUGGACUGUAACUGACGUUGAGGCUCGAAAGCGUGGGGAGCAAACAGGAUUAGAUACCCCUGUAGUC